This is a long non-coding RNA of Symphalangus syndactylus (siamang), 2510 nucleotides long. RefSeq lists it as uncharacterized. NCBI's taxonomy places the organism in Eukaryota, Metazoa, Chordata, Mammalia, Primates, Hylobatidae. The record is from RefSeq and is a predicted model, not a curated record.
CCGACGGACGGCGCUGCGAGCAGGAGGCGUCCGGCCAUGUUCAGCCGGAGCUCCCGGAAAAGACUCUCCAGCCGCUCGUUGACCGGACUGGGGCGGAUAGAGCGAGGCCAGCCAUGUAACGCCUGUGGUGACCAGUGCCCUGGGUUCGCCUUGCAUAAAUGGAGAUCUGCUGUGAUUGUUCCUUUUCGCAAACCACAAUGACUCUGGAAAACCUGGCUGUAAAGGCCAGCACUGCCACCAGCUAAGGAUCUAUGAUCAGGAGUGCCAUCUCACGGUGACUGGGGUGAAGACAAGCUUGUGCAGGCCACUGGCUAACACAGUUCAUCCCAUGCCUCCUACAUACCAAGCACUGUGCCAUGCGCUUUUCACGUCUGGCAUCCUCAGAAUCCUCCAAAAUGCUGGAAGUCCAAGAUCAAGGCUGGUUUCUUCUGAGGCCUCUCCCGCUGGCUUGCAGAUGGCUGUCUUCUCCCUGUGUCUUCAUAUGGUCUUCCGUGUGUGUGUGUGUGUGUGUGUGUGUGUGUGUGUCCCCUGAUCUUUUCUUAUAAGGACACCAGUUAUAUUAGGGGACAGGAAGAAGAGAAAGGUGAGUCUGCUAGGAAGUGAAGAGGACCUGGUGAAGACUUAGAGCAGGAGCCAGCAAGCUAUGCUAGACCAAACUGGACCUACUGCCUGCUUUUGUAAAUCAAGCUUUAUUGAAACACUGUCACUCUCCUUCAUCUAUGGCACUUUUGUACUACAAUUGCAGAGUUGAGUUGUUGCGAUAAAGACUGUAUGAUCCACAAAGCCUUAAAUAUUUCCUAUCUGACCCUGUACAGAAAAAUUUGCCAACUCCUGAUUUAGAAUAUAAAAACAGAAUCACUUUUUCAUACACUUUGCCAAUGAUGAGAUGAAUGUCAUAUGAGGCUUUCUCUUUCAAGUGAAGUGGUUAACUGUUGUCAGAGUUUCUGCAUCUGAGUCAACCCUUACCGACAGCAAGAGUUAAUAUCUCUGAGGCCUAAUCCAAAAUAAGGUUAUGUUCUUUAGAAGCCUGGCCACUUCUCCUAGGAAUACAAGGAAUGCAGUGUGAGAUAGCAUUGCACUUCUGGUAAGGCCACUGGGACAGGGAUGCCCAAGGGCUCAUGCAUGUCCGUGCUUCUCCUCUUCUUAGGCACAAAGCUAGAUGAUGCUUCUCAGUUCUCUUGCAGUAAAGGAGGCCACGUCUCAAGCUUGUGCCAAUGAAAUUUGGGGAAAAUAUGUCCACCACUCCUCACUGACUCUUCACCUUCUCUUUUCUUGUCUGCAGGUCAGACUCAAACAAUCCAGUGGGACACUCUGAAAUUUAGAGGAAGUGGUCCAAUAGAAUUUUCUGGAAUUAUGGAAAUCUUCUAUUUUGUGCAUCCAGUGUAGCAGAAUCUAGUCACAGGUGGCUUUUGAGAACUGGAAAUAUGGCUAAUGCAACUGAGAAAGUGAAUUUUUACUUUUGACUCAUUUAAAUGUAAAUGAUCACAUAUGACAUCACUGCCAUAUUGGACAUUGCAGUUCUGGAAGAUGGCAGAUGCAGCCCUUAGAAGAAUCAUCGGCCUGAAUGUCUGGGCGGAGCAUAGCACUACCUUCCCACUCGCUCUUCCCCUCCUCUCACCCCCUCCCCUGCCUCACUUGCAUCAGACUGUGAUGUGAGCAAAAGCAUGAAACAGCUCUUUUGAUAGGCCUGUGAGACUUGCUGUUUAUUGGACUAGCUAGGCUGCUCUGACUCAUACACACCCGAAUCGUGGCAACCACUUUUAUGAAGAAAUGACAAUUCAGUCUACUACUUGUCCAUGUUACAUGCCCAAGGAAUGUGAGGGGCCUCUGCUUGGAUCUAGUUUUCAACCUAGUCUGUGGCAUUGAUUAUCCUGUUUAAAAGACAAAAGAGGUGACUUCAUGGGCACUUAACAUCUUGGCCAUACUGACCCCAGCUGCACGCUAUGUAGGAAGUUUUAGUCCAUUUAAACUGAAGUUCCAAUUUUUUUUUUACAACCAUUUAAAAUUGUCCAUGUCCCAUACAUGACAGAGAAAGGGUUGUCUGGUUGGAUGAUUUUUGGCUCACAAAAAAAGAACACAAAAGAAAAGCAUACGUUUUAAUACUCAAGAGACCAAAUUCUCUGCUGAAGAGGAAAUGAACUACAUAUCCAGAAGGGUCCUGCCAAGAGGCCAAACAGGCUGUACUCUCUUGGGGGAGUUCUCAGUGGUGAUGAGAACUUUUUUUUUUUUUUUUAAGUCAUUUCCAAGGUGAGAUACUGACUUGCUGCGGGAGCAGGAAAACUGGUCUUUCAUUGCUAGCAGCAGAGUAAGGGUCUUGCAAGUUUCAGGCAGCAGCAGAGAAAGCAUCUUGCAAGUUUCAGUCCAAAGCAAGAAGAGCUAGGAUUGCACCAGCCAUCUCACCUACUCUGUGCUCACCUGUUUCUGGAUGAACCACGGUGACAUCUGUUUUAUUGUAAAGAGAACCAAUUUUGGAAUCAAAUGGAACCUGUAUUAAAAUCCUGAAUCCGUCA